GAGUGUUGAGAACUGUGGCCAGUUCACCCUUACAGCCCAGUCCAGUGAAGGCUGCUGUGACUGUUCAGGUCAUGAGUCGCCUGAUGGAAAGUAUGUCUGUCUUGCCGUGUCUUUGAUUUUUCAGAAGAAGUUGGAAACCUAGAUUUUUAUGUGAAAUCAUCUCUAUUUUUUUCAGCUUAUUAAAGGUACAGUUGACAACCAAAAUGAUAAUAAAGAUGUCAAGUCGCUGCAUGUGAUCCUUGCUGGGAAGGAAAGGGACCAUGGUGUCAUGAGAGGGGCUUUGGGUGACCUGACCUGGGUCCUGGACCAAGAUCUGGGGAUGAGGAGAGACACAGAAGAAUCCUCGUGGAGGUGACGUUUCACCUGAGACAUGCCAGGCAGAAGGAAACAGAGGGCUUAGAUGCGAAAGCGAGUUCAUGUCCAAGCACUCAUGAAACCAGCAUAGACUGAGAAAGAGAGCGGGGUCGAUG
This 470-nucleotide long non-coding RNA is filed under the name Sus scrofa (pig). RNAcentral describes it as "lncRNA (ENSSSCG00070016470.1)". Lineage: Eukaryota; Metazoa; Chordata; Mammalia; Artiodactyla; Suidae. The record is from RNAcentral.